RNAcentral lists this ribosomal RNA (497 nucleotides) under uncultured bacterium. RNAcentral describes it as "partial 16S ribosomal RNA". It matches the Rfam family "Bacterial small subunit ribosomal RNA", at positions 28 to 507 of the family's 1533-position model. The record is from RNAcentral.
GAUGAACGCUGGCGGCGUGCCUAAUACAUGCAAGUCGAGCGAACGGACGAGAAGCUUGCUUUUCUGAUGUUAGCGGCGGACGGAUGAGUAACACGUGGAUAACCUACCUAUAAGACUGGGAUAACUUCGGGAAACCGGAGCUAAUACCGGUUAAUAUUUUGAACCGCAUGGUUCAAAAGUGAAAGACGGUCUUGCUGUCACUUAUAGAUGGAUCCGCGCUGCAUUAGCUAGUUGGUAAGGUAACGGCUUACCAAGGCAACGAUGCAUAGCCGACCUGAGAGGGUGAUCGGCCACACUGGAACUGAGACACGGUCCAGACUCCUACGGGAGGCAGCAGUAGGGAAUCUUCCGCAAUGGGCGAAAGCCUGACGGAGCAACGCCGCGUGAGUGAUGAAGGUCUUCGGAUCGUAAAACUCUGUUAUUAGGGAAGAACAUAUGUGUAAGUAACUGUGCACAUCUUGACGGUACCUAAUCAGAAAGCCACGGCUAACUACGUG